UGCAGAUUUGGACUAACACAUCGACGAGCAAAUCAAAACUCUCUCCUCUCUCACAUCAUUAUUAGUGUGAAAAAAAAUUCUAUCUUGGCAUGAAAGCUUAUCAGGAGAUAGGAAGAUCCAAUGCAAUUAAUUGGCGUUAAAGGGCUUAAAUCCAUGAUUGAUAAGGAAGCUGAUAUUAUAUCACAUAUGUCAUGCACCAUGCUGAUCUCUCCAGUGAGGAAAACAUGGGUUUCUGGAAUGUCUGAAAAAUAUGGUUCCAGAUAUUAGGGAGUUAACUUUUGCUUGAAUAUAUCUGGCAUUACCAGGUCAUUAACCUUCAUCUGCUACUGCUCUUCCUGAAGGCCUUGGCAUGGAGCACGGCAAAGCCCAAAGGACAAACCAGUUUCUGGAAUCCUUGAAAUCAGAAGAUGAAAUGAUUGUUGAAGACAUGCAGCCAUCAAUGUUAGCCCAAUAUACAUCAACUGCUCAAAAUCUAACUGAUCCUGUCACUUUGACAGCUGAGAAGAAACUCAAUGUCACUCUAAAACGGGAUGCUUGGUGGAAUGAGUAACUUCGAUGGUCAAGGGAAAUUAUCACUUCAAAUUCUUAACCAAGAAGAUGGGUUCAUCCAAGUUCAGAAUGAAACUAGGGGAAUCCAUGCGUCAUUUUCAAGACACAUCCUAACAUGAACGAAGAAUUAUUCGCUAAUGAAAGCAUUUUAGGCUUGAGGGAUCCCAACAGACCUUUCCCCACUGGUCAAAACAGGGAUCCAGGUGUUGGACUUUGAAGUGGAGAAUGCAAAGAGUCGAUGAGUCGAUGGUGCCCCUGACACGUGGAUACAAAUCUAAAGCAAUAGCUUAUCUGAUCACUUUACACUUUCUGUUGUAUGUUUUAAUGCUAUGUUUAAUUCGUGCAUAUUGCAGUCGAUUGCUGGCCAUCUGAUUCUGGAAAUGAAACAUAUGUCAGCAUUGAGUAUGAAGCUUCAUCAAUGCUUGAUCUAUGAAACAUUGUGAUUUCAGUUCCUCUACCAGCCCUUCGAGAUGCAACAAGUGUUAGGCAGAUUGAUGGAGAACAGAACCUUGCAGCUUCUCGGACAGCACUUGAAGACAUCACAACAACCUCUGGAAUUUCUACUAAAUGAUGCUUCCCUUUCAAGCGCUGAGAAACACAGGCAGUCUGCAUCGCCCUUCACAAAGGACCUCUAAAGUAGACAUAAAAUUACAUCAGCAUUACUUUGGAUCUCUCCUUUAUGUACAGAUUUCAGCUUCUUUUUGCUUGCUUCAACUGCAAUAUGCCUUUUUGCUUUGAAACUCCUUUCAUGUUUAUAUACUAACAGAAACUCUUGCAUCAGUUUAUUUAUGGUUUUGUAUACACAAGUUCACCUUAUUAUAAACAUCUACUUUGUAUGAAACACCACUGAAGUUUUUGUAGAACAA
Molecule: long non-coding RNA, 1415 nt
Organism: Populus nigra (black poplar)
Lineage: Eukaryota; Viridiplantae; Streptophyta; Magnoliopsida; Malpighiales; Salicaceae
Exons: 5
Source: RefSeq, a predicted model, not a curated record